This 521-nucleotide ribosomal RNA is filed under the name Limosilactobacillus reuteri. RNAcentral describes it as "bacterial SSU rRNA". It matches the Rfam family "Bacterial small subunit ribosomal RNA", at positions 49 to 526 of the family's 1533-position model. Lineage: Bacteria; Bacillati; Bacillota; Bacilli; Lactobacillales; Lactobacillaceae. The record is from RNAcentral.
UAAUACAUGCAAGUCGUACGCACUGGCCCAACUGAUUGAUGGUGCUUGCACCUGAUUGACGAUGGAUCACCAGUGAGUGGCGGACGGGUGAGUAACACGUAGGUAACCUGCCCCGGAGCGGGGGAUAACAUUUGGAAACAGAUGCUAAUACCGCAUAACAACAAAAGCCACAUGGCUUUUGUUUGAAAGAUGGCUUUGGCUAUCACUCUGGGAUGGACCUGCGGUGCAUUAGCUAGUUGGUAAGGUAACGGCUUACCAAGGCGAUGAUGCAUAGCCGAGUUGAGAGACUGAUCGGCCACAAUGGAACUGAGACACGGUCCAUACUCCUACGGGAGGCAGCAGUAGGGAAUCUUCCACAAUGGGCGCAAGCCUGAUGGAGCAACACCGCGUGAGUGAAGAAGGGUUUCGGCUCGUAAAGCUCUGUUGUUGGAGAAGAACGUGCGUGAGAGUAACUGUUCACGCAGUGACGGUAUCCAACCAGAAAGUCACGGCUAACUACUUGCCAGCAGCCGCGGUAAUAC